RNAcentral lists this ribosomal RNA (322 nucleotides) under uncultured bacterium. RNAcentral describes it as "bacterial SSU rRNA". It matches the Rfam family "Bacterial small subunit ribosomal RNA", at positions 1 to 334 of the family's 1533-position model. The record is from RNAcentral.
CUACUAUGUUCAGAGUUUGAUCCUGGCUCAGAACGAACGCUGGCGGCACGCCUAACACAUGCAAGUCGAACGAAGCUAAGGUGCUUGCACCUUAGACUGAGUGGCAGACGGGUGAGUAACGCGUGGGAAUCUACCUAGCAGCGGGGAAUAACUUCUGGAAACGGGAGCUAAUACCCCAUACGCCCUUCGGGGGAAAGAUUUAUCACUGUUAGAUGAGCCCGCGUUAUAUUAGCUAGUUGGUGAGGUAAGAGCUCACCAAGGCUACGAUCUAUAGCUGGUCUGAGAGGAUGGACAGCCACACUGGGACUGAGACACGGCCCAG